Long non-coding RNA from Rhinolophus ferrumequinum (greater horseshoe bat), 665 nucleotides. RefSeq lists it as uncharacterized. The transcript has 3 exons. Lineage: Eukaryota; Metazoa; Chordata; Mammalia; Chiroptera; Rhinolophidae. The record is from RefSeq and is a predicted model, not a curated record.
CUUGAUGCCAGGGUCUCUGCUGUGUGCGCAGUAGGUUGGCGAUUUCAGGCGGCGGGGUGCAUCUAUCUGCCAAGGAGCAGCUUGAGAAAAAGUUGGAGCAGGAAAAUAGCCUGGAUUUCUGGAGGCUUACUUUAAGACCGGUCACUUCUGCAAGGAAGGAAAGGAGGAAGAGACUGGCUCAAUUCUCUGGAAGUUGGGCAUAAUUGGUACCACUGGAACAAAGCAAGGAGUGGGAAAUUGCACCACAUCAGAGCAGGUUGGUAUGACAGUGGAUACAACUUCGGGUGUGGUAGUGGAGACCAACGCAGGCCCAAGAGUGACUGGGGUCUAGUCUCAGGACUCCUCAGCCUCUCUCAUUGCCAACAUAUUUUCCCACCGACCUCACACCUGUUCGGUGGCAGGCCAAAUAGUGUGGUAGCUGUGGGCAAAACGAAUGUAACAGAGGGAUUUUCUAAUAGCCCAACAGCCCCACCAAGAAUUCAAGGUCCAGUCUGUGUGUGUGUCCCUGCGUGGAGAGACACAAUUCAAAGAGACUCAAAGCCCCGUGUCCUUCUCUCUCCCGGGAUCCACCUCCAGUGGCAUCUCUGGCGAUGUUGGAAUUGCUGCUGAACAACACCCUCAAUAGAUGUGCACCACCUGGGAACCAUCCAUCCUCCACAUACUUG